Molecule: ribosomal RNA, 489 nt
Filed under: uncultured bacterium
Lineage: Bacteria
Description: partial 16S ribosomal RNA
Rfam family: Bacterial small subunit ribosomal RNA
Source: RNAcentral
GACGAACGCUGGCGGCGUGCUUAACACAUGCAAGUCGAACGGUGAAGGGAUCAGCUUGCUGGUUCUGGAUGAGUGGCGAACGGGUGAGUAACACGUGAGUAACCUGCCCCCUUCUUCUGGAUAACCGCAUGAAAGUGAGGCUAAUACGGGAUAUUCUGCGCCUGCUGCAUGGUGGGUGUGGGAAAGAUAUUGUUUCGGUGGGGGAUGGGCUCGCGGCCUAUCAGCUUGUUGGUGGGGUGAUGGCCUACCAAGGCGGUGACGGGUAGCCGGCCUGAGAGGGUGGACGGUCACACUGGGACUGAGACACGGCCCAGACUCCUACGGGAGGCAGCAGUGGGGAAUAUUGCACAAUGGGCGCAAGCCUGAUGCAGCGACGCCGCGUGAGGGAUGGAGGCCUUCGGGUUGUGAACCUCUUUCGCCAGUGAAGCAGGCCUGUCCCUUGUGGGUGGGUUGACGGUAGCUGGAUAAGAAGCGCCGGCUAACUACGUG